Bos taurus (domestic cattle) is the source of this 573-nucleotide long non-coding RNA. Lineage: Eukaryota; Metazoa; Chordata; Mammalia; Artiodactyla; Bovidae. The record is from Ensembl.
AAGGAGAAACACAUGGGAUGGAAAUGGCAGCCCACUCCAGUGUUCUUGCCUGGAGAAUCCCAGGGACGGGGGAGCCUGGUGGGCUGCCGUCUAUGGGGUCGCACAGAGUUGGACACAACUCAAGCGACUUAGCAGCAGCAGCAGCAGCAAAAGGUUAAGAAAGAUAUACCCAUUUGAAUGAAGAGUUCGAAAGAAUAGCAAGGAUAGAUAAGAAAGCCUUCCUCAGUGAUCAGCGCAAAAAAUUAGAGAAAAACAAUAGAAUGGGAAAGACUAGAGAUCUCUUCAAGAAAAUUAGAGACACCAAGGGAACAUUUCACGCAAAGAUGUGCACAAUAAAGGACAGAAAUGGUAUGGACCUAAGGGAAGCAGAAGAUACUAAGAAGAGGUGGCAACAAUACACAGAAGAACUGUACAAAAAAGAUCUUCAUGACCCAGAUAAUCAUGAUGGUGUGAUCACUCACCUAGAGCCAGACAUCCUGGAAUGUGGAGUCAAGUGGGCCUUAGAAAGCAUCACUACGAACAAAGCUAGUAGAGGUGAUGAAAUUCCAGUUGAACUAUUUCAAAUCCUGAAAG